Molecule: ribosomal RNA, 458 nt
Filed under: uncultured bacterium
Lineage: Bacteria
Description: partial 16S ribosomal RNA
Rfam family: Bacterial small subunit ribosomal RNA
Source: RNAcentral
AACGAACGCUGGCGGCAGGCCUAACACAUGCAAGUCGAGCGAGGACUUCGGUCCUAGCGGCGGACGGGUGAGUAACGCGUGGGAACGUGCCCUUUGCUUCGGAAUAGCCCUGGGAAACUGGGAGUAAUACCGGAUGAGCCCUUUGGGGGAAAGAUUUAUCGGCGAAGGAUCGGCCCGCGUUGGAUGAGGUAGUUGGUGGGGUAAUGGCCUACCAAGGCGACGAUCCGUAGCUGGUUUGAGAGGAUGAUCAGCCACACUGGAACUGAGACACGGCCCAGACUAGUACGGGAGGCAGAAGUGGGGAAUAUGCGACAAUGGGGGAAAGCGUGAUGGAGCAAGACCGGGGGGGGGAAGAAGGCCUUAGGGUGGUAAAACCCGGGUGUUGGGAAAGAAAAGAAGCGGGAGAAUACAGGGAUGGGAUGAAGGUACCUAAAGAAUAAGCAACGGCUAACUUCGUG